UACGGAGGUGGCAAGCGUUAUCCGGAUUUAUUGGGCGUAAAGGGAACGCAGGCGGUCUUUUAAGUCUGAUGUGAAAGCCUUCGGCUUAACCGGAGUAGUGCAUUGGAAACUGGUAGACUUGAGUGCAGGAGAGGAGAGUGGAAUUCCAUGUGUAGCGGUGAAAUGCGUAGAUAUAUGGAGGAACACCGGUGGCGAAAGCGGCUCUCUGGCCUGUAACUGACACUGAGGCUCGAAAGCGUGGGGAGCAAACAGG
RNAcentral lists this ribosomal RNA (253 nucleotides) under uncultured bacterium. Its description in RNAcentral is "partial 16S ribosomal RNA". It matches the Rfam family "Bacterial small subunit ribosomal RNA", at positions 524 to 776 of the family's 1533-position model. The record is from RNAcentral.